This 85-nucleotide transfer RNA is filed under the name Fibrella aestuarina BUZ 2. RNAcentral's name for it is "tRNA-Ser (GCT) (tRNA-Ser-GCT-2-1)". It matches the Rfam family "tRNA". From Rfam's summary of the family: Transfer RNA (tRNA) molecules are approximately 80 nucleotides in length. Their secondary structure includes four short double-helical elements and three loops (D, anti-codon, and T loops). Lineage: Bacteria; Pseudomonadati; Bacteroidota; Cytophagia; Cytophagales; Spirosomataceae. The record is from Rfam by way of RNAcentral.
AGAGGGGUGUGCCGAAUGGUAAGGCGGCAGACUGCUAAUCUGUAGUCGGGAAACCGGCUUCGGGGUUCGACUCCCCGUCCCUCUG